UUUUAUAAUUGGAUAUGAAGACGCGCACAUGCGUUUCUUUAAACUCGGCAUUCCACUCCAUAUGCCGAGGGUCCAAAUAUUGUGACAAGAAAAUGGAACAUCGUAGCUGGAAAAGGCAUCAGUUUCAACUCCCAUUUAGGCAUCCGAUCUCCGUCGCUGCGUACACUGAAAUGCUUUGACAAAUUAUUUUUAAGCCAAUUUACAACUUGAGAAAAAGUAUCAGGAAAACAUAUCACACCAGGGAGGCGAGGCGUGGGAUGGGAAUAGCUCUGGAUCCCCAUGGGUGAGUGGGCACAUUACUCACUCGAGGUGCCAGCCAUCCUGCCAGCCAGCCAGCCCAUGAGCAGUGAGCAGUGAGCAGCGAGCAGCGAGGACAGCCAACCAACCAACCGAUUCCACGUCAAAACCGGCAGGGAGCGAAGAACAGAGACCAGAAAUGAGCAUGGCCAAGAGAAAUGCAUUUCCACAACGUCUCUCGACAAAAUGUCGGCAUCGUCCACGGCGGAAACCAUUAAUUUUGUCACUUUCGGAAGUGCAAAGUGGAGAAGGUGCACAUGGCAAUCGCAAUCGCUGGGCUGGGGCUGGGAGCUGGGCCAGUGACCAUCCGACAGCAAAACAACUUUCAGCAAUAUUGAGAAUCAUGAAAAGGCAAUUAAAUCCGGCACCUGCUCCAGCUCGCCUGCCAGACAGACACGGAGAGAUUCUCACUGGCGAGGGAGGACCAGCCAUAUGUGUACAUCUUCCCCCCUGACUUCCAAACAAGUUAAUUGCUGGCCAGGCACUGACCGCAAUCACCGCAGGGACAGCGAGAGCUCCCAAGCAUGGGGGUCGCAUGACACUUGAGAACGUUGAGGGGGCCACAGGUCUGCUGACCGCAGAAACCGCACCGCAUACGAAGUAGGGCCGUGUUUAUAGUCAAAUGUUGACUUAAUAAUUACAAAUGUAUAAUUUAAUAGUCAGAAAGUAUGAGCAAAACCGAGGGGAAGCCACGGAACCGACAGCCGAGUAAAGAGUAUAAAAUGAUGCAUAUAA
Molecule: long non-coding RNA, 1032 nt
Organism: Drosophila pseudoobscura
Lineage: Eukaryota; Metazoa; Arthropoda; Insecta; Diptera; Drosophilidae
Exons: 3
Source: RefSeq, a predicted model, not a curated record